GUAGGUGGCAAGCGUUGUCCGGAAUUAUUGGGCGUAAAGCGCGCGCAGGCGGUUCUUUAAGUCUGAUGUGAAAGCCCACGGCUCAACCGUGGAGGGUCAUUGGAAACUGGAGAACUUGAGUACAGAAGAGGAAAGCGGAAUUCCACGUGUAGCGGUGAAAUGCGUAGAGAUGUGGAGGAACACCAGUGGCGAAGGCGGCUUUCUGGUCUGUAUCUGACGCUGAGGCGCGAAAGCGUGGGGGAGCAAACAGGAUUAGAUACCCUGGUAGUCCACGCCGUAAACGAUGAGUGCUAAGUGUUAGGGGGUUUCCGCCCCUUAGUGCUGCAGCUAACGCAUUAAGCACUCCGCCCUGGGAGUACGGCCGCAAGGCUG
Molecule: ribosomal RNA, 372 nt
Filed under: uncultured organism
Description: partial 16S ribosomal RNA
Rfam family: Bacterial small subunit ribosomal RNA
Source: RNAcentral